AGUUUGGCUCAGUAGAUAGAACGUUGGCCUGUGGACUGAAGGGUCCUGGGUUCAUUUCCAGUCAAAGCCAUGUACCUCGUUGCAGGCUCAGUCCCAGGCCCUGGUUAGGGCUUGCACAGGAGACAACCAAUCUAUGUGUCUCUUAUAUCCAUGUUUCUCAAGAACAUGUUUAAAUUUUCUGUCUACUAUAAACUGAGCACAUAGCUAAAAAUCAGGGACUAUAAGUAAAAUUAAGGUUGUGAACUUUAUUUUUAGUGAUUUGGCAGGUAACAUAAAUGGAAGACAACAGGGAGUGGUGAAGUCUGUUUUGCCUUGCUUAAAAGCAUUUCCUUUCAGUUACAGACACUGUUAACCCUGGAAUACAAAGGCAACCCUGAUCUGUGUGGUGAUAGUUGUAAUCCCAACAGGCCAGUGAUCAGGAACAAAGUCUGAAGAACAUAAAGUACAGGUCAAAGAGGAGCCCUGAAAUAGAUACCAAGGAAGUAGGUGAAAUCAGGUGAUAAGUAUCCUUCAUUUUCUAAAUUAAGAAAAUGAAGAGCAAAAAAAAUAAGGGAAGCAUA
Molecule: long non-coding RNA, 560 nt
Organism: Myotis davidii
Lineage: Eukaryota; Metazoa; Chordata; Mammalia; Chiroptera; Vespertilionidae
Exons: 2
Source: RefSeq, a predicted model, not a curated record